GUCCUAGCCGUAAACGAUGGACACUAGGUGUUGGCCUCGUUAAGGGGUCAGUGCCGCAGGUAACCCGCUAAGUGUCCCACCUGAGGAGUACGGCCGCAAGGUUGAAACUCAAAGGAAUUGACGGGGCCAGCACAAGCGGUGGAACAUGUGGUUCAAUUCGAUGCUACGCGAAGAACCUUACCCAGGCUUGACAUGCUUGAAGUAGGAACCUGAAAGGGUGACGACUCGUAACCAGUCGAGAACUUGCACAGGUGCUGCAUGGCUGUCGU
This 269-nucleotide ribosomal RNA is filed under the name uncultured bacterium. RNAcentral describes it as "partial 16S ribosomal RNA". It matches the Rfam family "Bacterial small subunit ribosomal RNA", at positions 793 to 1055 of the family's 1533-position model. The record is from RNAcentral.